GACGAACGCUGGCGGCGUGCCUAAUACAUGCAAGUUGAGCGCUGAAGGUUGGUACUUGUACCGACUGGAUGAGCAGCGAACGGGUGAGUAACGCGUGGGGAAUCUGCCUUUGAGCGGGGGACAACAUUUGGAAACGAAUGCUAAUACCGCAUAAAAACUUUAAACACAAGUUUUAAGUUUGAAAGAUGCAAUUGCAUCACUCAAAGAUGAUCCCGCGUUGUAUUAGCUAGUUGGUGAGGUAAAGGCUCACCAAGGCGAUGAUACAUAGCCGACCUGAGAGGGUGGUCGGCCACAUUGGGACGGGGACACGGCCCAAACUCCUACGGGAGGCAGCAGUAGGGAAUCUUCGGCAAUGGACGGAAGUCUGACCGAGCAACGCCGCGUGAGUGAAGAAGGUUUUCGGAUCGUAAAACUCUGUUGGUAGAGAAGAACGUUGGUGAGAGUGGAAAGCUCAUCAAGUGACGGUAACUACCCAGAAAGGGACGGCUAACUACGUG
This 497-nucleotide ribosomal RNA is filed under the name uncultured bacterium. Its description in RNAcentral is "partial 16S ribosomal RNA". It matches the Rfam family "Bacterial small subunit ribosomal RNA", at positions 28 to 507 of the family's 1533-position model. The record is from RNAcentral.